This 71-nucleotide transfer RNA is filed under the name Camelus bactrianus (Bactrian camel). It matches the Rfam family "tRNA". From Rfam's summary of the family: Transfer RNA (tRNA) molecules are approximately 80 nucleotides in length. Their secondary structure includes four short double-helical elements and three loops (D, anti-codon, and T loops). Further hydrogen bonds mediate the characteristic L-shaped molecular structure. tRNAs have two regions of fundamental functional importance: the anti-codon, which is responsible for specific mRNA codon recognition, and the 3' end, to which the tRNAs corresponding amino acid is attached (by aminoacyl-tRNA synthetases). tRNAs cope with the degeneracy of the genetic code in two manners: having more than one tRNA (with a specific anti-codon) for a particular amino acid; and 'wobble' base-pairing, i.e. permitting non-standard base-pairing at the 3rd anti-codon position. RNAcentral also lists the same sequence under 1 other name. The record is from Rfam by way of RNAcentral. Lineage: Eukaryota; Metazoa; Chordata; Mammalia; Artiodactyla; Camelidae.
GUAGGUAUGCUCAGCGGUAGAGUGCAUGCUUAGCAUGCAUGAGGUCCUAGGUUCAAUCCCCAGCACCUUCA